Molecule: ribosomal RNA, 506 nt
Filed under: uncultured bacterium
Lineage: Bacteria
Description: partial 16S ribosomal RNA
Rfam family: Bacterial small subunit ribosomal RNA
Source: RNAcentral
AGUGAACGCUGGCGGUAGGCCUAACACAUGCAAGUCGAACGGCAGCACAGGAGAGCUUGCUCUCUGGGUGGCGAGUGGCGGACGGGUGAGGAAUACAUCGGAAUCUACUCUGUCGUGGGGGAUAACGUAGGGAAACUUACGCUAAUACCGCAUACGACCUACGGGUGAAAGCAGGGGACCUUCGGGCCUUGCGCGAUUGAAUGAGCCGAUGUCGGAUUAGCUAGUUGGCGGGGUAAAGGCCCACCAAGGCGACGAUCCGUAGCUGGUCUGAGAGGCUGAUCAGCCACACUGGAAAUGAGACACGGUCCAGACUCCUACGGGAGGCAGCAGUGGGGAAUAUUGGACGAGGGGCGCAAGCCUGAUCCAGCCAGACCGCGUGGGUGAAGAAGGCCUUCGGGUUGUAAAGCCCUUUUGUUGGGAAAGAAAUCCAGCUGGCUAAUACCCGGUUGGGAUGACGGUACCCAAAGAAUAAGCACCGGCUAACUUCGUGCCAGCCGCCGCCGUAA